UUAAGUUCAGCGGGUAUCCCUACCUGAUCCGAGGUCAACCUUGAUAAAUAGUUUGGUUAUCGACUGGCGCCGGUCCCGGCCGUGAGCGUGUGAAUGAAAUCCCCAUACACUCUGGCUGAUCGAGAAACCGCGACGCCGCCACUGCGUUUCGGGCCCGUCCUUCUUAGGGGACGGUGGCCCAACUCACAAGCCGUGCUUGA
This 200-nucleotide unclassified non-coding RNA is filed under the name Ascomycota sp. RNAcentral's name for it is "partial internal transcribed spacer 2". Lineage: Eukaryota; Fungi; Ascomycota. The record is from RNAcentral.